AACGAACGCUGGCGGCAGGCCUAACACAUGCAAGUCGAGCGCGCCUUCGGGUGAGCGGCGGACGGGUGAGUAACGCGUGGGAAUAUGCCCUUCUCUACGGAAUAGUCCUGGGAAACUGGGGGUAAUACCGUAUACGCCCUUUGGGGGAAAGAUUUAUCGGGGAAGGAUUAGCCCGCGUUGGAUUAGGUAGUUGGUGGGGUAAUGGCCUACCAAGCCGACGAUCCAUAGCUGGUUUGAGAGGAUGAUCAGCCACACUGGGACUGAGACACGGCCCAGACUCCUACGGGAGGCAGCAGUGGGGAAUCUUAGACAAUGGGGGCAACCCUGAUCCAGCCAUGCCGCGUGAGUGAUGAAGGCCUUAGGGUUGUAAAGCUCUUUCAGCUGGGAAGAUAAUGACGGUACCAGCAGAAGAAGCCCCGGCUAACUCCGUG
Molecule: ribosomal RNA, 431 nt
Filed under: uncultured bacterium
Lineage: Bacteria
Description: partial 16S ribosomal RNA
Rfam family: Bacterial small subunit ribosomal RNA
Source: RNAcentral